GACGAACGCUGGCGGCGUGCUUAACACAUGCAAGUCGAACGGUGAAGCGCCUUCCUUUUUGGUGGGUGUGGAUGAGUGGCGAACGGGUGAGUAACACGUGAGUAACCUGCCCCCUUCUUCUGGAUAACCGCAUGAAAGUGUGGCUAAUACGGGAUAUUCUGGGUCUGUCGCAUGAUGGGUCUGGGAAGGAUAUUGUUUCGGUGGGGGAUGGGUUCGCGGCCUAUCAUCUUGUUGGUGGGGUGAUGGCCUACCAAGGCCUGGACGGGUAGCCGGCCUGACAGGGAGUGAGACAACGCCGGGACUGCUACGCGAGGCAGAAGCCGGGGAUAGUGAGCAGUGGGGGAAAGUGUGCUGCGGCGGCGAGGCGGAAGCGAUGGCGGCCUUCGCGUUGUGAACCUCUUUGGCUAGUGAAGCAGGCCUGCCUGGUAUGUGGGGGGGUUGACGGUAGCUGGAUAAGAAGCGCCGGCUAACUACGUG
This 477-nucleotide ribosomal RNA is filed under the name uncultured bacterium. RNAcentral's name for it is "partial 16S ribosomal RNA". It matches the Rfam family "Bacterial small subunit ribosomal RNA", at positions 28 to 507 of the family's 1533-position model. The record is from RNAcentral.